Molecule: ribosomal RNA, 440 nt
Filed under: Lactobacillus amylolyticus
Lineage: Bacteria; Bacillati; Bacillota; Bacilli; Lactobacillales; Lactobacillaceae
Description: bacterial SSU rRNA
Rfam family: Bacterial small subunit ribosomal RNA
Source: RNAcentral
GCCUAAUACAUGCAAGUCGAGCGAGCAGAACUAACRGAUCUACUUCGGUAGUGACGUUUCGGAAGCGAGCGGCGGAUGGGUGAGUAACACGUGGGUAACCUGCCCUUAAGUCUGGGAUACCACUUGGAAACAGGUGCUAAUACCGGAUAACAACAAGUGCUGCAUGGCACUUGCUUGAAAGGCGGCGCAAGCUGUCGCUAAAGGAUGGACCCGCGGUGCAUUAGCUAGUUGGUAAGGUAACGGCUUACCAAGGCAACGAUGCAUAGCCGAGUUGAGAGACUGAUCGGCCACAUUGGGACUGAGACACGGCCCAAACUCCUACGGGAGGCAGCAGUAGGGAAUCUUCCACAAUGGGCGAAAGCCUGAUGGAGCAACGCCGCGUGAGUGAAGAAGGUUUUCGGAUCGUAAAGCUCUGUUGUUGGUGAAGAAGGAUAGAGGUA